GUGAAAAUAAAUAAAAGCAAACUGAAUGAAAGGAUUUUAAUAUACAGAAGUUCAUUUAAAGCUUUUUACAGCCCACCUGUUCAACCAAUUUUGACGAAAGGUACAAAGUUCUUGUAUGGCGGAUCUUCUUCGCGGAGAUGGACAUUGCUGAUGUUUUAUUACAGAAAAUAAAACAGUUCCUAUUGGAUAAAUCCGUGCAAAUUAAGUUGUCAUUAUUAUCAUUUAUUUGGUAUGGAGUAUUUGGUGUCAUACUGGACUACAUCAGACUAGGUAUCCUGGAAAUCAAAGAGUUAGCACUGGAUUUUUAAAACUUAAAAGGGCAUCAUGUAGUUAUUAAAUAUUAUAAAUAACACUAAGACUACUAUCUAUCUUAGUAGAUAAAUAGUAAAAUAAGAAGAAUAUUACCUAAUUGUCUAAUUAGCAAUUUAGAAAAUUAAAGAUCAAUAAUUCCUUUUUCAGUGAAACCUGAGCUUGAAAGCCUGUGGAUUAGUGCCUAAUCCACUUUGCUAGAAGAUUGCAUUGUGGUGUUCCUGCAUUAAGACUACAUUCUACAGAAUAAGCUCCCAUAAGCUGUCAGUGCAGUAACACUCCUGUAUAAUUUUGUAAUAAUAUAAAAAUUUAAAAUUAAAUAAAUUGUUUUUUAUAGCUAGAACCAGCAAGAAACUCGACGGUUGCUCAUUUCAAAGAUUUGAUAUACUGAAUGAGUUAUUGGUUAGGUUAGAGAGCUGUGGCAGGCAUGCCAGUCUUCAUUGUUAUUUUUUUAUAACCACUUCUUGAAUGACCUUCCCCUUUUCUCCUCACCCUAUCGAGGGUAAAAGUUUUACCAAUAUCAAUUUUAUCAAAAUUAAAAAAUUCAAUAAAAUAAUCCAUCUGGGAAGGAGAGGGAUUGACUUACCCUCCUCUCCCUCUUGCCCAUCCCACCCCCACUUACGUCCUAUCGAGGCGGCAUGUUUCAAAAUAUUGAGCCAUACAAAUAAACAAAAU
Long non-coding RNA from Maniola jurtina (meadow brown), 984 nucleotides. RefSeq lists it as uncharacterized. Lineage: Eukaryota; Metazoa; Arthropoda; Insecta; Lepidoptera; Nymphalidae. The record is from RefSeq and is a predicted model, not a curated record. The transcript has 2 exons.